ACGGGUGAGUAACACGUAGGCAACCUGCCUGUAAGACUGGGAUAACUACCGGAAACGGUAGCUAAUACCGGAUAGCUGGUUUUCUCGCAUGAGAGAAUCAUGAAAGACGGAGCAAUCUGUCACUUAUGGAUGGGCCUGCGGCGCAUUAGCUAGUUGGUGAGGUAAUGGCUCACCAAGGCGACGAUGCGUAGCCGACCUGAGAGGGUGAACGGCCACACUGGGACUGAGACACGGCCCAGACUCCUACGGGAGGCAGCAGUAGGGAAUCUUCCGCAAUGGACGAAAGUCUGACGGAGCAACGCCGCGUGAGUGAUGAAGGUUUUCGGAUCGUAAAGCUCUGUUGCCAGGGAAGAACGUCUUAGAGAGUAACUGCUCUAAGAGUGACGGUACCUGAGAAGAAAGCCCCGGCUAACUACGUGCCAGCAGCCGCGGUAAUACGUAGGGGGCAAGCGUUGUCCGGAAUUAUUGGGCGUAAAGCGCGCGCAGGCGGCUAUGUAAGUCUGGUGUAUAACCUCGGGGCUCAACCCCGGGUCGCACUGGAAACUGUGUAGCUUGAGUACAGAAGAGGAGAGUGGAAUUC
RNAcentral lists this ribosomal RNA (580 nucleotides) under uncultured bacterium. RNAcentral describes it as "bacterial SSU rRNA". It matches the Rfam family "Bacterial small subunit ribosomal RNA", at positions 102 to 669 of the family's 1533-position model. The record is from RNAcentral.